This 484-nucleotide ribosomal RNA is filed under the name uncultured bacterium. RNAcentral describes it as "partial 16S ribosomal RNA". It matches the Rfam family "Bacterial small subunit ribosomal RNA", at positions 29 to 523 of the family's 1533-position model. The record is from RNAcentral.
AGUGAACGCUGGCGGCGUGCUUAACACAUGCAAGUCGAACGAGAACGGGUUAUAGCUUGCUAUAAUUGUCAGCUAAGUGGCGCACGGGUGAGUAAUGUAUAGGUAAUAUGCCUCUUACUAAGGGAUAACAAAUGGAAACGUUUGCUAAUACCUUAUACUCCUUAUUAACAGAAGUUAAUAAGGGAAAGAUUUAUUGGUAAGAGAUUAGCCUGUAUUGUAUCAGUUAGUUGGUGGGGUAAUGGCUUACCAAGACUAUGACACAUAACUGGUUUGAGAGGAUGAUCAGUCACACUGGAACUGAGACACGGUCCAGACUCCUACGGGAGGCAGCAGUGGGGAAUAUUGCACAAUGGACGAAAGUCUGAUGCAGCAACGCCGCGUGGAGGAUGACGCAUUUCGGUGCGUAAACUCCUUUUAUAUGAGAAGAUAAUGACGGUAUUAUAUGGAUAAGCACCGGCUAACUCCGUGCCAGCCGCCGCAGUAA